This 27271-nucleotide long non-coding RNA is filed under the name Nicotiana tabacum (common tobacco). RNAcentral describes it as "long non-coding RNA (NTAB_LNC018400)". The record is from RNAcentral. Lineage: Eukaryota; Viridiplantae; Streptophyta; Magnoliopsida; Solanales; Solanaceae.
CCACAUAAACAAAGAAACAUCUGAAGCCCAAGGAAUCCAGCUGAGCCCCUUGGCUAUGAACAUGCAGAAAAUUAAAACACUACAUAAUUAAUGAACUACAGGCCCCCUCGCUUGAACAUUGAAAUUACUGUCAUUUGCUGUUGAGUUCUUACAUAGUAAAUUUAAUGAUGGAUACUCUUGACAUUAAAUAUACAGUGACCCAAUAGCCCUUGAGUUCAUUCAAAUUAAAAAAAAAAAACAAAACUGAAAUUCUAAACAACAAAAUCAUUGAUGGAGGUUAACUGGGAACUUAACAUCACUGAGAUUGAACUAAUCAAAAUCCAAAAUUAGUGUUACUUAUCCAAAUUGAAUCUAUACUAUGACAGUACAAACAUCCAAGGACUCGGUAGAAAUAGUUUAAACUAGGCUGGAACCAAAAUAACACAUGAAAGUCCAAAUACAACCCCAAUACAAAUUGUAAUGUCCAUGGCAUGAAUAAAUACAAUGAAUCAAGCAAUAGAACACAAUUUAAUGUAGAACAAGGAUAAGUUUUCAAUAACACAACUUGAUAUUCAAUAACUAAGGUUUACAUCUCCGACAUGCUUCAGAUUCAAGCUUCACAUCAAUAAAGUCCAAAGAUGUACCUGGAUAUCAAAGUAAACCAAAAGAGAAUGAAGAUUUUCAACAGUAGCAAUAGAUUGAAUAAAUCAGCAAGCCAAACACAACAAUAUUCAACCUCUCUUAGGCCAUUUGUAACCCAGACAUCAGAAAUUAUUUGAACUUUUGGAAAAUUCUGACUAACUAUGAAGAUCAAAAGCAGAACCAAAGCAAAUUUCAACCAAAAAAGUCCAGGAAAUGUUCAGUAUGUCGAGUAUUAAAAGUUGCCUAAAGAUGAAGGGGAAGAGGUAUUAUAUAGGCAUGCCUAUGGCAGCCCUAGUCCAACUUUACCAAUUCCCUUUCUACCCUUGAAUUCUUGGUUGUUUUACCCCCUUUACCCUUUUCAAAAUAUCUGAAACCCUCUGCCCUUAACAAACCAGCUCUCAUCUUAUCCUCUAGAACCUCCCCCCAACAGAAAAUGAUUCCCUUAAACCCCAAAUGCCCAAAACACCCCCUGACAUCCUUGUUUUUACGCUCAGCAGGCCAACCUGGGUCAAGUUAACCCAAGACCCCAAAUGAAUGGGCCUCUUAACCGGGUCAUCAAUGAACACAGUUAAUUCAAGAGUCCAAACCAUCACAAAUGAUCAAACAAAGAAAAUCAAAUUCAGAACAAGAAAAAGAAACAAUAAUUCAAAAUUUUACGAUUAAACCUAAUUUUAACUACCAACUAAGAUGGACUCCAUUAUUAAAGAAAACAAGACAAAAAAUGAAGUAAGUAAACAAAGAAUAGAAAUACUACAAUCAGCAGAGUUGAGGGAAAAGAGAGCGGAAAAUACCAAUUUACGCCAGAAUGUCUUGACAAAACGAAACGAAUCAUCGAACGAUGAUGAGAAUAGAUAUUUGGCCGGAAUCCGGUGAGUUCGUCAAAAUCCGGUGUUCUCAGAAUGGACUAAAACCAAUGCCAAUCGAUUGCUCUUGUUAAGAGCAAUCGACUAAUGUAGAUUAUAGGUCAAAUCGAGCCGGGACUUGUGCAGAAUUAGAAAAAAUAGAAUAAAUUAGUGUUUAAUUUCUAGAUUCGGAAUUGGGGGAAUUUCGUUGGGAUUUUUGAGAAAUAAAUGUGGGAAUAGGAUUUAGGAUGGCCUGGGGGUUGCGUGGUAUGAAUGUGGGGUGUUUGGAGCCCGCUGCCGGUGGAGAGGGUGGAGGAAUUUAGGACAGCGCUAGGGUUUCUGGGCUGAGGCGAUAAGAGACUGAAGGGGAGGGGUUUGUACUGGGGGUGUCCUAGAUUCCGACCUUUAAAUACAAAAGGGGUCCCCAGUUCCCAGCCCUUGGAUUAACUUAGAUCGAUGGCUAGGAUUGACCCAAGGAAACGGGGUCGUUUCGAUUGGAGAGGGGCUGGGCAAAUUCGGGUUGCUCCGAGUUGGGCCUGGAUUGGGGAAAUACUUUGGGCGGGUUUUCAACUGAACUGGCCCAAUUUCAGGGUUUUAUUCAAAUUCUCAAUUUCCUUUCUUUUUUUUUGUUUUCCUUUUAUAAUUGUUUUCUUUUCCUUUUCAAUCAAUUUAAACCUAAAUCAAACUCUUAAACUAAAUUAAUUUAACACAAUUAAGACAAUAAUCCACCAUAAUAAUUUUAAAAAUUAAUUACUCCUAAAUUAAAAAAAAAAAGAAAUUACUAAUUUAAAAUUAAAAGGCUAAAAAUGCAAAAGUAAACCAUUUUGGUGAUUUUCAUUUUUUAACAAAUUUUUUUUAUUAAUUAACCUAAAAAUGUAAAAAUAUCCCAAAUGCAAUGCGGGGUAUUUUUUUUUGUAUUUUUCAUGAUUUAAAUAAAACAAACAUGCAUAGAAAAGUGCAAACAAUUAACAAAAAUCCUACAAAAAAUUUGCGAAAUUGCAAAUAAUGGAAAAAAAAAUUAUUUUCUUGAAUUAAUGGGAGUAAUUCAUAUAGGAAAAAAAUCACGUGCUCACAGCUGCCCCUCUUUACUCGAAAACACGAAGAGUUUUCAUUCAAAGAUAAAGUGAGCGGAUACGAUUGAUUUUUGCCCCUUUGAAUACUCCCUGGGAAGCAUUUUUUGAAAAAUUUGACCGCACCUUGCUUCCGAGGUUGCCUACAUAUCCUUGGCUAUAAAAGAAUCAGGUCAGUGUAGUUCGGGAGGUUUCGGUAGCUGGGACUACCAGGAAGUUGUGAUUUCACUGUUGAUGUUGCUGCUACUGCUUGCUGAACCCCUUAUUACACCAGGACAAAAUACAAGAAGCUAGACUAAACUAUGAUUUAUGAAUUACAAGAAUCCUAUCUAUAUCUUCAAACUUGAUCUUGCAGCAUCUGCUGCUCCGUUGACUCGUACUCUCCAGGUGAACUUCCUUUGUUGCUGACUUGAAUUGUGUUAUGAGGUGAAUUCCUUUAUUAUCUAGGCGGGCACCUGAUUGCUGAACCGGAACCAUCUUCCUUCGAUCAUUGCCGCUUUUCUUUUGUUCUUCAGGUGGCGCCUGAUUAUCAUUAUUUGAAUUAUCUUCCUUUCCUACGAGACUCGACUUGUUUUCCCUCUGAAACUUGAAUUGUUUUCCCUUUGCUCUAUAGGUGGGCGCCUGAUUACCAAUAUAUGCACUGUUUUCCCUUGAGACUUGGCAUGUUUCCCUUUGUUCUCUAGGUGGGCUCCUGAUUUCAACACUUGAACUGCUCUUCCUUUGUUCUCCAGGCGGGCUCCUGAUUUUCAACACUUGAACUGUCUUCCCUUUGUUCUCCAGGUGGGCGCUUGAUAACUAACAUUUGAAUGGCUUUCCCUUUGUUCUCCAUGUUGGCUCCUGAUUUCCAAUACUUGAACGGCCUUCCCUUUGUUUUCCAGGUGAGUGCCUAAUUUCCACAACUUGAAAUGCCCUCACUUUGUUCUCCAGGUGGGUGCCUGAUUUUCACAACUUGAACUGCCUUCCCUUUAUUCUCCAAGUGGGUGCCUGAUUUCCACAACUUGAACUGCCUUCCCUUUGUUCUCCAGGUGGGUGCCUAAUUUCCAAAAACUUGAACUGUCUUCCCUUUGUUCUCCAGGUAGGUGCCUGAUUUCCAACUCGAAUUGACUCCUCUGAAACUGCUACUUUCUUUGAACUGUCCUCCCUUAUUUCUCUAGGUGGGUGCCUAAUUGCUUGGAUCUGAACUGCUUUCCAUCUUUGAAACUCAUGUUGUUCUCCCUUGCUCUCCAGAUGGGCGCCUUAUUACAACAAAAUAGAUAAAACAAAUAAAAUUUCCUGCCCCAGUUUGGUAGCUGGACACAUCGGUGAGUGUUAAUUGAAUCAUGUUGCCAAAUAUCUCUAAGAAUUUGAAAGCUAGAUCCCAUUAUCCAGGAGGAUCCUGAAAAUUAAAAUCAAAUCUCAUCUUAAGAGUGACAACUUUAAGGCUAAAUUAUAUUUUCCUACGGUAGAACUUACGCUAAAUCUUGUUAUCUAAUGGAGGUCUUAAAGCUAAGUUCCAUUAUUCAUGAGAGUCUUAAAAAUUUCGAAUUGAAUCCUAUCCUAAGAAUGAAAACUUCAAAGCCAACUUAUAUUUCCUCAAGGUAAAGCUUAUGCUAGAUCUUGUUACUCAUGAAUGUUUUGAAUUUUAAACUAGAUCCCAUUGUCCAGAAGGGUCCCGAGAACUUCAAAUUAAAUUCCAUUAUCCAGGCGGGUCCUGAGAAUUUACGAUCGAACCUGUCCGGUACAUUGCUUUCUUUAUGGAAGGUUUCUCCGAAACAAAUGGAAUUUUCUGCCCCUAUUUCAAAUCAACGAAAAAUCUUGUCAGUUUAAAAAUAUGGUGGUUAGUUUGUGGCAUUCUUGUUGAAGGUGGCCUCUUCGGUGUCGCGCUUUGCUUUGACUGGUUGCCUUGAACUGGCCAAGAACCGUUUGACUUUCUGACUGAUUCUCAACCGCAGGACCUUGGAUGACCCGAGUGCUCUACACUCAAACCGUUGUUUUACAUUUCUAACCCUUCUACCUUAACCUCUGUAUUUCACAUAAGAUUACUAAACCAUUCGACCAAUGGAACUUUCACUGACACCUUAUUUCCCACUUUACAUCAUGCUAUCUCUGGUAUGCUUUGGCCGCACUUUGCUUUGUGCAAUUUUGGAAGUUGGUAGUAAGCUUUAAAAUCUCUUCUCACUUGCUCAAACAAAACUGACAUUGGAAAAAUCUCAGAGAAAUAAACCCCAAAGAAAUGAAAUGCAAUGACUUCGAGAGUUAGGAAUAGAGAAGAAAAUCCAAAACUGGAUGACUGUUUAUAGGAGGAAAAAGAAAAAAAGACUUAUCUGAGCGGAACGGCUGGUACCAAUGAUCAUGACAUGCAUUUUGGAUUAAUCAUCCCAGCCUAUUCAAUCAAUCACCUUUUAGUUGUCAUAUUAUAUGCCCUAGGAUUUCCAUAACCCGAUUUCUUAGCCGAAUCACUGACCUUGUUCGGUUCGCGGUGCCCUGAAAGGUUUACACCAACAAACCUCUAUCAUUUAAUCAUCUCUCAACUCACCGUCGCCUUACGGUGCCCGUGAGUGUUUUCACCAAUAAGACUCUCUCAUUUUUUUCAUUUUUCCUGCUUAGACCGGAGUGCUUCCCCUGAUAUGAAUCAUCUGUGCUUACUCAACUUGGAAUCUCUCGAAGACUAAUUGGAAGGUCUUUCUUUGGACUAUAAUGUGAAAUUUUGGAUAGGGUUAGAAAGAAAGGAUAUCAAAAGGCUCAAAACAACUUGAAUGGGUUUAAAAAUUACAACUCUUGGAAUCAGAUUUCUUACAAUAACCACAACUUUCUGCCCCAGUUUCUUUGCUUGGGGACUUCUAGAUUUCUAUUUUGAUGGGACUGAACCAUGAGGCUGCCUACGUAUCCUUAAAAGGAAUCAGCUCGAACGUAGUUCAUGUCAUAGGAAUUACUUUGUUGUUGUGAUUAUUCUCUUUUCUUUUUCUUUCUCUCUUUUCCUUUUCUUUCCUUUUCUUCUUUUUUCUUUUCUUUUCUCCUUUUUCACUAUUUUCCAUUUUUUUCUUUCUCUUUUCUCUUUUCUUUUCUCUUUUUCUUCUUUACUCACCUUUUGCGCUCGUAUUUUCGAACUUUGCUACUGAUUCCAAAAGAGGGGUAUGAAAGGAAAUAAAUAAAGCUCAAAGGAGUAACAAAGGAUAAAGUGUUUAGAUAGCAUAACAAAAUGCCUUCGUCAUUCCAAUCUUCAAAACAUGGCAAGUACAAACAAAACAAUUUAAACCAAAGAAAUCAUACAUAAUAUCUUUUGACCGCAUCAGAAUUGAUAGCUAUAUCUACACAUUUGCCUUCUAUAUCUGUCAAAUAUAAAGCACCAUUGGACAAUACUCUCGUUAUGAUGAACGACCCCUACCAAUUUUGGGCGAACUUGCCUUUUGCUUCAGACUGAUGCGGAAGGAUGUGUUUUAAUACUUGCUGACCCACUUCAAAUUUCUGGGUAUGCUCCUUCUUGUUGUAUGCUCUUGCCAUUCUCUUUUGAUACAUCUGGCCAUGGCAUACUGCUAGCAAUCGUUUCUCAUCAAUCAAACUCAAUUACUCCAGAUGAGUUUUGACCCACUCAUUAUCAUCAAUUUUGGCUUCAGCGAUAAUCUGAAGUGAUGGAAUUUCAACUUCUGCGGGUAUCCCCGCUUUUGUGCCGUAUACCAACAAAUAAGGAGUUGCACCUAUUGAAGUACGCACAGUAGUGCGAUAGCCCAAUAAUGCAAAGGGCAACUUCUCAUGCCAUUGCCUGGAACCUUGCACCAUUUUCUGAAGUAUCUUCAUUAUGUUUUUGUUGGCUGGCUCGACUGCUCCGUUCGCCUUGGGGCGGUAUGGGGGUGGAAUUGCGAUGUGUAAUCUUGACGUUCUAAACGUCAAUACCACACAAAAGGGGGGAUAAUUUGUGUGGUACCCAAUUUUCUCUCUAGAAGAACCUGGUUCUUCUAGGUGUUCUAACUACUACUGUUUGCGGAAUAAAAAAUACAUAAAAUAAAGAACACAGAGAUUUUUACGUGGAAAAUACCUGGCUCAAAAGGUGAGAAAACCACGACCUACUACUCAGUAGGAUUUUCCCAAACUUCCACUAAAAUUACUGAGCCAAAAUAGCAUUUACAAAAACUCUUUAUAAACCUAAGGAUUAACUCUAAUCCCGUUGUGGCACAGCGCCUCAACUGUUGCGACGACUUUAAGUUAGAUUAUAACUUGAACACUCAAAUUACCUAAUACAAUUGCUUCUAUGAAAGCUGAAAGAUACAACUUUAAACCACCUACUACAAUUGAACUAGAAUAAUAAAAAAACAUAAUGGAACCGGUUCUUCUAUCUUGUUCAAGUAGCUUCAGGAGUGCACACUUAAAUUUCACAUAAAUUGCUUGCAAAAUCGCCUUGCUCUUUUGCUUUUAAUUUAGUUUAACUUCUACGUUUGUGCAAUGUCUAUAAAAGAGAAAAUCACUGUCAUUUAAUAGGUUAGAAAUCAGAGUUUGAUUGAGACUCAAUUUCUGAUCUUCUAUCGUAGUUGAGUCCUUGAAGAUAUCAAACUCUAACACUCUCUUUAUCCGGAUUGUGUUCUCUUCACAUAAGGAGACUUUCUCACCUUAUCCAAUAUGCAACCUUUUCGAUCAGAUCAGGAGAUAUUGCUGCUUGAUUAGUAGGACUUAUCUCCUUCACGUGCAUCUCACAUGUGUAGGUUGAUCAUGACAGUGCUUCACAAGAUGGACCUGGUCCAUGACUGAGUUCAUUUAUCAUUCUUUAAAACUUUACCUAUUCUUGUGCCAACAAAUUCCCUCUUUUUGAUGAUGACAAACUCUGUGCUUUUUACUGAUCAAAAAACCUAUAAGAACUCAGCUUAACCAUCAACACUAAACUUAGAAAAUUUUCUUUUCAUCAAGGACCAGGUUAAUUAGGUUAUAAAUAUCACUUAUUUCAGAAUAAUGUGUAAAACACAAUAUCUCUUCCCCCUUUUGGAAUCAUCGAAAAGUUGCAUACACAAUGUGAAUUCCAGAUUUUAAUAAGUACUCAUGGGCACUGGGAAACUGCAAGUGCAAUCAUGGUGCAAUCAUGGUGCAAUCAUCAGUAAUCAAACAAACAUAUUUAAACUAUCAAGGUCAGAAUAAUCAUUGAACAAGAGAAAACAUCAGUUGUCAUUGAUACAUAUAUGUUUCCACUAACAAUCCAAAAAAAAAAGAAAAACAUCCAAACCAUGAGCAAAAAACAGAAAAAUCCCUAAUCUGGGUCACUGGGGGGGGGGGGGUUACUAGAAUUAGUUCAGGAGACAGAAACUAGGAGUCCUAAGGCUUGGAGGGUUGAUUUUGGAGAAGAUUCAGCAAGUUAAAUUCCAUCAUUCUUCUCCUGUUCUGUUGCAAGCUUCUGAGACCAUCCCUCUCAGCUUCCACUUCAACCACACGAACCUUGAGCCUAGCAAUUUCAGCAUCCUUAGCUGCACAUUCCUGAACAAAAGUCCUAACCUUGCUGUUGAUGGGUGUCCUCAAGGAUGAACCAGGUUCAACUAGGAUGGCAUUGACUGGAUAGUCACAAGAAGAAGAGUUUUGAUACCAAAGUAUUCUUUGCUCGAGGUCAUUUCCCAUUUUUUCAUAGGCACAUUGAGCCUGUCCAGAAAUGUACUUAGUAUGAAGCCAUAUGGGGUAGCAUGAGCCUUGGAACCAUUUAUAACCCUGUCUAGCAGUUUGACUAUGAGGGCAUGCCAGUUGAUUUGCUUUCCUCUCUCCAGGCAUUCCAUAAGAACCAGAUCCAUGUAGUUGGCAGUGUUCUUUCUCCUGUCUUGGCAAUAAGCACUUGAUGACAAACUCAAACACCACCUUGUGCUGAGGCCUCAUCUCACUUUUCUGCACAGCUUUGGCUUCAUUCACAUUCUCUGAAUCACAGAACCUUUUGGUGAUUUCAAGGGCAGUGGGGAGGGAGUCCAGGCAUAGCCACCUUUGCCUAGUAUAAUCAUCAAACCCUUUAUAGGAUAUGUCCAGAAUCUCUCCCAAUUUCACAGCAUCAAAUUGCACUUGAACUGCCUUCACCUGGCUACUGACAACUCCAUCCUUAACAAUAUCAUUUGCCAUAAAUUCAAUCAACUCAUUUCUAGCUAGCCUACCUUCCAUCUAAAGGACCAUGUCCUUCUAUCCCUGAGCAGCCAAAGAGUCUACCAAUUUCAUCAUUCCUGGUUCCACCAGGUCCUUCAACAGUCUACCCUUUAAAAUCUUUCUUCUGCCAAAAAUGGCAAGCUUGUCCUGUUCCUUUUCAGAAUCAUUUUCUUCUUCUUCUUUACUCCAAUCACCAUCAUCAGAAACUUUGGUUUGUUUAGCUUUCACUACAGAUCUUGUCCUCUUAGCUAGUGUGGGUUCAACAACUACAGGCACAGAGGAGGAUGUCUUGGACGAAGUCUUUGGUUUCUUAGGCUUGGGUGUAGGAACCUCCACUGUUGUACUCCUCUCUCGAUGGACCAGUUCCAUCUCUUCUUCCUCAACAGCCUCUGAGUAUUCUGCAACCUUUCCAUUUCCCUUAUCCUUUUUCCUUUUAUUGCUUUCUUCUAAAGCCUUUUGUAGAUCAGCUUCACUCUGUUUUACCUUGCUUCUUGUGGCUCUACCCCUAGGCACUAAAGAGGCAGUAGGUGUUGGGAAUGUGACUUUUCUUUUCUUGGAUGGCUUGGGAACAUUUGAGGCUUUUGGUGUAGUAGCUUUGCAUUUCUUUGGGUCAUAACUUGCCCCAACCUUUUUCAGUAGGUCAGUCAAGGUUUCUUCAAUAGAUGAAACAUGUUCAUCUCUUUGUUUGCUUAGAUGAACCAACUCUCAGCUGCUUCCCCAGAACCACUUCUCCCUGACUUCAUGCCAUUCUCAUCUAACCUAUCUUGUGCAACCCUACAUAUAGAAAGAAUUGCUCCCUUCCUUUUACCUCUCUCUUCACCACAUGUACCCUCUCUCUCUUUUUCUUUUUCAGACUUCUUUUUACCUCCACUCCUACUCAUCUCAGGCAAAUCAACAUCCCUAAUGGGUCCAACCAGAACAAACCUAGUUUCUAAGUUUUCAACCACAGAAGAACUUACCUCAGAAGGAGAUUCUUGAGGCUUUUUAGAGUCAGAAGACCCAUGUCCAUCUCCCUCGGUCAUGGAUUGAAAGGAUUCAUACUCAGAGCUAGAAUCGGACUUCGGAGCUGGGCUUUCUUUCACUUGGCUAGCUUUCAACCUUUCAUUUAAAACCUUCCUCAGAGCCCCAGAUGCUACCGUUUUUUGAGCAAGCAUUUUCUACCUUCGAAACCUAUGUUUUGGAGAUACACUGGUGGAGUAGAUGAGGAUAAACUUGAGGGAGAUGAUGGUAGAGGAGUGCCAGGGUGAUCUUGUGGGUUAGACAUGAUUCUUCGUUUCUUGAGAGAACUUGGGAAUUUUGGAGAAGAAGGCAAUUAGAAUUGAAGAGGAAUUUGUGAUGGUUUUAGAAUUAUGAAGAAGACUGGAGAUGCGGUGUGUAUUUUAAGCGGAUUAGACAUUAAAUAAGUAACGACAGCUUUUUCAGGGGUCAAAUAGAAGUCUAAUCAAAUUGAAAUUCCAGAAUUUUAAUGAUAGAUUUGGCUUCCCUAGAUAUUAGGAAGAAACCCCGGUUUAGAGUUCUAGAUGGACAGAACUAGUUCAAUGUUUAACGGAUAGAAUUUUCUAGGAAUUUGACAAGUAUAGGAAUUCUGCUCAUAAUUGAAUUAUUAAUCUUUCUAAUUGUACAGAGUAUAGAAAACAUACCUGAGCUUUCAUAUGAACCCAAACUGAUGAACUAGGUUCUUCAUAUAGAACUCUCUUGAACAUGCUUCAAAUGCCAUAAUAGAGAAAAUGUUAUAAGAGAUCAGUGCAUCAUAUAUGCACAUGUCACAGGAGUAUACUAAUUAAAGUAUGAAACUGAGUAAGAAUUAAUCUAGAUAUUUACACAAGGUUAGAAAUCCUAGCCAAAUUUGUUUUUCAUUUUUUUGUGCAUUCUGAGCUGGAUCUAUUAGGUGAUCUUAAUCAUCACUAAUUCCAACCUAUUCCUCUCAAAGUUUUCUCUACUCAGUGCUUUAAUGAAGAUGUCAGCAAUUUGCUUAUCAGUAGUACAGAAUUCUAUGGAGAUCAAACCUUUCUCAUAGUUGUCUCUUAAGAAAUGGUGCAUAACAUCUAUAUGCUUAGUCCUCUUAUGAUGAACAUGGUUCUUUGUCAUACUUAUAGCACUAGUGUUAUCACAGAAUAUAGGAAUGCAACCAACUUCAAUGCCAAAGUCUACUAGCUGCUAUUUGAUCCAUAGUAAUUGAGCACAACAAGAGGCAGAAGCAACAUAAUCAGCUUCAGCAGUAGAUAAGGCCACUGAAUUUUGUUUUUUAGUAUCCCAUGAAACUAGACAUGAACCAAGGAAGUGUGCCAUACCUGAGGUGCUCUUCCUAUCCACUAGGAAACCUGUAUAAUCAGCCUCAACAUAUCCUACUAGGUUGAAAUUACUACCUUUGGGGUACCAAAGACACGACACAAAUCAGUGGUGCCUUUCAGAUAUCUUAGUAUCCUCUUGACAUCAGUCAAGUGAGACUCUUUUGGAUUUGCCUGAAAACGAGCACAAAGCCCUACACUGAAAGUAAUGUCAGGUCUGCUGGCAGUAAGAUACAAGAGUGAACCAAUAAUACCCCUAUACAACUUUUGAUCAAUUGAUGAACCAGGUUCAUUAAUGUCUAAUUUAGUGGCAGUUGCAAUGGGUGUGUCUAUUUCUUUUUAUUCUUCCAUUUUAAACUUUUUGAUAAGCUCUUUUGCAUACUUCUGCUGAUGGAUCAUGGUUCCAUUAGGACUUUGUUUGAUCUGCAAGCUUAAGAAGAAGUUAAGCUCACCCAUCAUACUCAUUUCAAACUCACUCCCCAUUAAUUUUGCAAAGUCCUUACUUAGCUUAUCAGUGGUGGCCCCAAAGAUUAUGUCAUCAACAUAUAUUUGUACCACAAGGACAUCCUUACCUUUUUUCCCUUAAGAAUAAGGUACUGUAAAUUUUCCCUCUUUUGUAACCAUGCUCUAGUAGCAAUUUGGACAGUCGUUCAUACCAUGCUCUUGGGGCCUGCUUGAGUCCAUAAAGAGCCUUGUCUAACUUAUACACAUGCUCAGGACAUUCUUUUCUCUCAAACCCUGGUGGUUAUUUUACAAACACUUCUUCUUUUAGGUAGCCAUUCAAGAAGGCACUUUUGACAUCCAUCUGGUGAAGAGUGAAUUCAAUGUGUGCUUCAAAGGCUAUGAGGAGUGUGAUUGCCUCUAGUCUUGCAACUGGAGCAAAAGUAUCAUCAUAACCUAUGCCUUCCUCUUGACUGUAACCUUGGACCACCAGUCUUGCCUUGUUUCUUAUAACUGUUCCAUCUUUAUCAAGUUUGUUUCUGAAGACCCAUUUUGUACCAAUAACUGAUCUGUCCUUGGGUCUUGGAACUAGAUGCCAAACUUGACUUCUCUCAAACUGAUUGAGUUCAUCUUGUAUUGCAUUCACCCAAGCUGCAUCCUGCAAAGUCUCAACAACAUUUUUAUGUUCAAUAAGAGAUAAAAAGGCAUCAAAGCACACAGAUUCUUUAAUUGUGAUCUAGUUUAAUCUUCAGAUGUUGGAUUAGUGAUAAUGUUCUCAAUAGGAUGAGAGCUUUGAUACUUGUGAGGUUUUACAACCAACUGAUUUCUGCUAGAUGUUUCUUCUAUAUUCUGUUGCUGAGGAACAGGGUCAUGAACAAGUUCUUUUAGGGGAUUUAUUUCAAUUCCUCUUUGAUAAGUUCCCCCUGUCAGGUUUCCCUAGAUGGAAGAACAUGUUCCAUCAACUGUUCCUUCUUUUGGUGCCACUUUAACUUGUGCUGAGGCUUCAGUCAAAUCCUUUACCAAUCCAGUGUCUUCAUCUUCAUGUUCUUGUCUCUCAGAAAGAAUGUUAGUUUCAUCAAAUAAUACAUGUACACUUUCUUAUACACAUAAAGUUCUUUUAUUGAACACUUUAUAUGCUUUGCUAUGUCAAGAAUAUCCCAAGAAUACUCCCCUAUCACUUCUGGGAUCGAACUUACCUAGGGAGUCUUUUCCAUUAUUAUGCACAAAGCACUUGCAUCCAAAUGCCCUAAGAUGGGGUAUAUUUGGUUUUCUCCCUUUAAGUAACUCAUAGGGAGUCUUCUCUACAAGAGGUCUAGUCAUGCAUCUAUUAAUAAUGUAACAUGCAGUGUUUACAGCCUCUGCCCAGAAGCUAUGGGGCAGUUUACUAGAAAGAAGCAUAGUCCUAGCCAUGUCUUCAAGAGUCAUGUUCUUUGUUUUAACUACUCCAUUUUGUUGUGGAGUCCUAGGGGCAGAGAAGUUAUGAACUAUACCAUUUUUAUCAUAAAAUUCAACAAACUUAGCAUUUUCAAAUUCAGUUCUGUGAUUAGACCUAAUUGAUGCAAGUUGAUUUCCUAAUUGUCUGAGUUUUCUAACAAAGGCAGUAAACAUAUCAAAUGCUUCAUCUUUAGAUGUUAGAAAUGGUACCCAGGUAAAUCUAGAAUAAUCAUCAAUAAGUACCAUUACAUAUUUCUUUCCUCCUCUGCUCAUGGUUAUCAUUGGACCACAGAGAUCCAUAUAGACCAGUUCCAAUGACUUGGUUGUACUUACCAUUUUUCUUGCUUUUGAAAGAUGAUCUUACCUGCUUUCGCGUUGCACAGGCCUCACAAACUUUGUCUUCUUUGAACUUGAUGUUGGGUAAACUUAUCACCAAGUCCUUAGAAACUAAUUUGUUUAGCUGAUUCAGACUGGAAUGACCAAGUCUUUUGUGCUACAGGAGGGGAUCAUUAUCCAGCACACUUAGGCAUGUUAGUUCAUUAUCUGAGAGAGUAGACAAAUCUACAAUGUAAAGAUUGUAAACUCGUUUUCCCUGCAAAACAAUCUUGUCAGUGGUAAGGUUAAUCACAAAGCAUUUAGUAGAGGUGAAUGCUACAAGGUUACCUCUGUCACAUAGUUGUGACAUACUGAUCAAGUUGUAUUUCAAGCCAUCUAUCAAGUAGACAUUCUCAAUGAAGUGAGAGUCUGUCUUACCUACCUUUCCAACCCCAAUGAUCUCACCUUUCUUACCAUUUCAAAAGGAGACAUUGCCUCCCCUUAAGUCCUCAAGUGAAAGGAACUGGUUCUUGCUUCCAGUCAUAUGUUUUGAGCAACCACUAUCCAUGUACCAUAUUUGGCUGCUUCCCUUCACUUGGACCUGCAAAAAUAAAUCAGGGGUUAGUCUUAGGAAGCCAAACUAGUUUGGGUCCCUUUCUAUAGGCAAAGGGAUAAAUCAGAUUUCUUAUAGCCCACUCAAGCAGCCUAUGUUUUUCUUGAACAAAAGUUUUGUUCUUUUGACUGGCCUUUUCUUUUGCAUUACAAUCAUUUUUGUAAUGGCCAGUCUUGCCAUUGUGUGUGCAAAUUUUGUUCUCAGGAAAAUUGAGGUACUUGCUUUUAGGAUCCCAUUUAGGUGCUUGAGUCCCAUAACCAAGUCCUCUUUUGUUGCUACUAUGAUGUUCUUGUAGCCAGGAGAGUGCAUCAGAAGCCUUGUUCCAUUUAUAUGUUCUGUCUAGUUCAUGUUUUACCUUCCCUAGAUCUUCUUUUAAUACUCUUAUCUGCUCAUCUUUCCUGUACAACUCAUCCUUAAUUUUUCCUAAGUUUUCUUCUAGGGUGAGAUGUGUAUGAUAAGCUUUCUUCUUUCCUGUCCCUCGUUUCAGUUUUAAGUUCUCAGACCUAAGUUCUAGGAUACUAGUGUCAAGUUCAAGAACCUGGUUCUUUAACUCAGUAUUUUCACUUUCACUCUCAUUAGCCCUAGACUCUAGAUUUUUGCACUUGGCUUUUAGGAUCAUACAUUCCCUAGACAAUUCUUCCUUCUCAUUGUUAAUUAUCUCAGACUCAUCAAUGAAGUCUAGCAGUAGCUCAGACAACCUUUCUUUAGACAGGAAUUUAAUCUUGUCUUUGAGAUGAAGAAUACUUACCUCUUGUUCAUCAUCUGAUUCUCCGAUGGCCAUAACUGCUGGUUCAUCUCCAGCUUCAUCUUCUGAGUCCUCAUCUGAUGUUCUCCCCAGUCAGCAACCAUAGCCUUUGUUGAUCCUUUGUUCCUUUUUGGUUGAACCUGUUCCUUCUUCCUGUUCCUUCGUUCAGCCCUUUAGUUCUUCCACUCAAUUUCCCAUUGAGGGCAAUUCUUGAUUAUGUGAUCAGUCUUACCACACUUGUAGCAACCCUUAUUGGUCUGUUUCUCAGGAGCCCUUGGUUUGUUGAAGGUUGUACCUCUUGAAGAACUCUUUUCUCUCAUCAGGUACUUUUUGAAAUCUCUUGUGAUCAUAGCCAUUUCAUCAUCCUCCAGACCCGAACCUUCAGCAAUUCUGAGAGCCAGAUUUAUUUCCUUCUUUGGUGCAUUCAUUUUCAUGGUUUGCCUUUUCAGUUCAUAGGUAGUAAGGUUUCCAAUUAGUUCAUCCAGCUUGAGGGUAGCACCAUUCUUUGAUUGCUGAAUAACAAUGAUUUUGCUUUCCCAAGAGACUGGCAGAACCCUUGUCAAAAUCUUCUCAACUUUGUCUUCUUCAAGACUAAUCCUUCCAAGAGACUUAAGUUCUUUUGUAAGUGUGGUGAACCUUGUAUACAUCUCUUGGAUGGUUUCUCCUUCCUUCAUGGUGAAAUUCUCAUACUGAGAAUACAUCAGUGUUCCUCUGGACCUCUUUACUUGAGGUGUUCCUUCAUGAGCCACUUGCAAAGUAUCCUAGAUUUCCUUAGCAGUGGUACAACUUUGAAUUCUACUAUAUUCAUCUGGACCUAGUCCACACACAAGCUAUUUCUUCGCCUUGGCAUUCUUCUCCCACUUCUUCAGGUUUUCAGCAGUGCAGUGAGCUCUUGUCUUUGGCAUAUCCACUCCUUCAGCAUUCUUCUUAGUAGUUGCUAGAGGACCAUCACUGACUAUAUCCCAUAGUUCAUAGUCUUCUCCUAUGAUGUGAUCCCUCAUGUUUUUCCACCAAGAAUAAUACUGACCAUUAAAAAGUGAAGGCCUAGCAGUGGAUUGCCCUUCCCAAUUCCCAGGUGUUGCACUCAUGUUGAUCUUUUCUUAAGGUGUUAUCCUCUUCAAGGAUAACCCGCUCUGAUACCAAUUGAUGUUCUAAACAUCAAUACCACACAAGAAUGGGGGUGAUUUGUGUGGUACCCAAUUUUCGCUCUAGAAGAACCUGAUUCUUCUAGGUGUUCUAACUACUACUGUUUGCGGAAUAAAAAGUACAUAAAAUAAAGAACACACAGAUUUUUACGUGGAAAAUACCUGGCUCAAAAGGUGAAAAAACCAUGACCUAUUAUGCAUUAGGAUUUUCCCAAACUUCCACUAAAAUCACUGAGCCAAAACAACAUUUACAAAAACUCCUUGUAAUCCUAAAGAUUAACNNNNNNNNNNNNNNNNNNNNNNNNNNNNNNNNNNNNNNNNNCAAUUGAACUAGAAUAAGAAAAAAACACAAUGGAACUGGUUCUUCUAUCUCGUUCAAGUAGCUUCAGUAGUGCACACUUAAAUCUCACAUAAAUUGCAUGCAAAAUUGCCUUACUCUUUUGCUUUCAAUUUAGUUUAACUUCUGCAUUUGUGUAAUGCUUGUAAAAGAGAACAAUCACUGUCAUUUAAUAGGUUAGAAAUCAGAGUUUGAUUGGGACUCAAUUUAUGAUCUUCUAUCAUAGUUGAGUCCUUGAAGAUAUUAAACGCUAACACUCUCUUUAUCCGGAUUGUGUUCUCUUCAUAUAAGAGACUUUCUCCUCUUAUCCAAUAUGCAACCUUUUCGAUCAGAUCAGGAGAUAUUGUUGCUUGAUCAGUAGGACUUAUCUCCUUCACGUGUAUCUCACAUGUGUAGGUUGAUCAUGACAAUGCUUCACAAGAUGGACCUGGUCCAUGACUGAGUUCAUUUGUCAUUCUUCAAAACUUUACCUAUUCUUGGGCCAACAAAUCUUAAGCUGUUGACAUACUUCCUUCAUCAGAUGAAUGUUAAGAUUAGAACCAUUAUCUGUGAUGAUUAACUUUGGGAUUCCGAAUCGACAAAUGAUAUUUGAAUGAACAAAAUCAACCACUGCCUUCUUUGUCACAGAUUUGAAAGUUUUAGCUUAAACCCACUUAGUGAAAUAGUCAAUGGCUACCAGAAUGAACCUGUGUCCAUUGGAUGCUACUGGUUCAAUUGAUUUGAUGACAUACAUACCCCAAGCAACAAAGGGCUAUGGUGCAGACAUUGUGUGCAAUUCAGAUGGCGGAGAAUGAAUCAAAUCUCCGUGUACUUGACAUUAAUGACACUUGCGCACAAAACUAAUACAAUAUCGCUCCAUGGUGAGCCAAUAAUAACCUGCUCGGAGAAUUUUCUUUGCCAAAACAUACCCACUCAUGUGCGGUUCGCAGACUCCGGAAUGCACUUCGGUCAUUAUAGCCGUGGCAUGUCUAGAAUCUAUGCAUCUUAACAAUCCAAGAUCUGGAGUCCUUUUGUACAAAACUCCUCCACUAAAGAAAAAUUCACUUGCCAAACGACGAAUUGUUCUCUUUUGAUCACCUACGGCUUCUACUGGAUACAUCCCCAUCCUGAUAUACUCCCCGAUGUCAUGGAACCAUGGUUCACCAUCAAGUUCCUCCUCAAUCAUAUUGUAGUAGGCAUGCUGAUCACAAAAUUGAAUAUGCAGAGGGUCAACAUAAGCUUUGUCCAGAUGGUGCAACAUUGACGCCAAGGUAGCCAAGGCAUCAACAUCCUCAUUAUGGAUCCUUAGAAUGUGCCUGAAUUCUAUAGAUUGAAACCAUUGACAAAGAUCAUGCAAACAUUGUCAAUAUGGUAUAAGUUUUAAAUCCCGCGUCUCCUAUUCUCCUUGAAUCUAGUGCACCAGAAGGUCCGAGUCUCCCAUGACCAAGACUUCCUGGAUUCCCAUACCUACAACCAUCCUUAGUUAAAGAAUGCAUGCCUUGUACUGAGCCAUGUUGUUGGUAUAGUAGAAUCACAGUUGGGUUGUAACAGGGUAGUGAUGCCCUGUUUCAGAAAUGAGUACAGCUCAUAUCCCAAUGCCUUUCAUGUUAGCAGUCCCAUCAAAGAAGAGUUUCCAACUGGGCUUUUCCUCCUUCUCGACCUCGUCAAUGUGCAUUACCUCUUCAUCAGGAAAAUAAGUCUUCAAAGGUUCAUAUUCCUCGUCCACCUGGUUCUCAGCCAAGUGAUCGGCCAAAGCUUGGGAUUUCAUUAUCGUCCGAGUCACAUAUACGAUAUCAAACUCUGUGAGCAAGAUUUGCCACUUUACGAGCCUUCCUGUGUGCAUGGGCCUCUAAAAAAUAUACUUCCAGGGAUCCAGGCGAGAGAUGAGGUAAGUAGUGUAGGACGACAAGUAAUGCUUCAACUUCUCUGCUACCCAAGUUAAGGCAUAGCACGUCCUCUCAAGGGGAGUAUGGUUAACCUCAUAAGAUGUGAAUUUCUUGCUGAGAUAGUAGAUGGCUUGCUCUUUCCUGCUAGUGAUGUCAUGCUGACCCAAUACACAACCAAAUGAGUUAUCCAAGACCAUCAAAUACAGAAUCAGAGGUCUCCCGGGUUCUGGUAGGACCAAUACAGGUGGAUUCGACAAAUACUCCUUGAUCUUAUCGAAGGCAUCCUCGCAUUCAUCAGUCCAUUUGACCGCAUCAUCCUUCUUUAACAGCUUAAAGAUGCGCUCACAAGUUGUUGUGAGCUGAGAAAUAAACCUGCUGAUGUAGUUCAGCCUCCCUAGCAGACUCAUCACCUCGGUCUUGUUCUCUGCAGUGGCAAUUCCUGGAUAACCUUGAUCUUUGACGUAUCAAAUUCAAUGCCCCGCCGAUUGACUAUGAAUCCCAACAAUUUCCCCGAUGGAAUACCAAAUAUGCACUUUGUAGGGUUGAGCUUAAGAUUGUACCUACAGAGCCUUUGGAAGAACUUUCUCAAAUCUUUGAUGUGGUCAGACUGCUUCCUGGACUUUAUGAUCACAUCAUCCACGUAAAUCUCAAUCUUCUUGUGUAUCAUGUCAUGGAAUAUGGUCAUAAUUCUCCUCAUGUAAGUUGCCCCAGCAUUUUUCAAACCAAAAGGCAUGACCCUGUAGCAAUAUGUUCACUAUAGCGUGAUGAAUGUCAUCUUUUCCGCAUCUUCCUCAUCCAUUAAAAUCUAAUGAUAGCCCGCAUAGUAAUCCACAAAAGACCCAAUCUCAUGCUUGGCACAAUUAUCAAUCAAAAUGUGGAUAUUUGGCAAUGGGAAGUUGUCCUUUGGACUUGCCUUGUUGAGAUCACAGUAAUCAACACACACUCUGGUCUUACCAUCCUUUUUUGGCACAGGCACAACAUUGGCUAACCAUGUGGGAUACCGCGUGACCCGAAUGACCUUUGCAUCAAGCUGCUUUGUGAUCUCUUCUUUAAUCUUCACACUCAUGUCAAUUUUGAAUUUUCUCAACUUUUGCUUGACGGGAGGGAAUGCUGGAUCAAUUGGCGAUUUAUGGACCACCAAAUCGGUACUUAAUCCUGGCAUGUCAUCAUACGACCAUGCAAAAAUAUCCUUAUACUCAAACAAUGGUUUAUUUCUUCCCUGAUUUGUGGUUCAAGAUGGACACUUAUCUUAGUUUCUUUGACAUUAUCUGGGUCUCCUAGAUUGAUUGCUUCCGUAUCAAUCAGAUUAGGCUUGGGUUUUUCUUCAAAAUAACUUAGUUCCUUACUAAUCUCUUCAAAGGCCUUAUCCUCAUCAUAUUCUGAUUCAUCAUCACACUCUAUUUCUUAGAUUAUUAUUUCAGAAUUAGAUUGACUUUUAAGACUAGGCCGAAGAUUCCUCAUGCAUGUCAUGUCAUUGAAACCAGAAUAAAAAGAAUUGUACAAAUAAGAAAAAGAAAAACAAAAAUAAAACUAUCAAGAAUGAUGGAAAAUGGAAAUUGCAUUUCAUUGAAAAUAAAGGAUAACAGGGUUUGUACAUCAACAAGCGAAAAAAUAAAAGUCUGGUUCACAACCCUGGAAUGUCCCAGAUAGAAAGGAAAACAAAACAAACUACCAAGACUCCUUUCGGGUAGGGAGAGAAGUAGCCUUCCAAUUGUUAAGCUUUGCAUUCGGCCCAACGAACUGCACGUCUGCUUGCUAGAACCUUCUCCAACCUCCACCAUGUUCACGUCAUCAACCAACAUCUGGACCCUUUUAAUUAACUCCUCAUCAAUGUCAACCACAGAACUUGGAACCGUCAUCACUAGACGUUUCCUGGCACCGGGCUUGACAAAAGACCUGGAGAGACGUGGAACAGGCUUUGGAAGUGCCCACGCCUUCUAUUUUAACCUUUUAGUCCUUUUCACAUCUGUCGUUGUAGGUUUGAAUCUAAGGCCGAACGUACCCAAAUUUUCAUGGAGGGACACAGGCUGUAUGCUACCCUAUAGAGAUGCACCUAGACCUUUACCGGGCAAGAAGCCAUUUUUCAACAUUUCAAAGGCCACCAUGUCUGAUGCGGAGGUUAUCUUUGGAGUUGGAACACAUUUCCCUUCUGGAACUUUCUCGAUCGGCACUGUUUCAAAAACUUUAUAGACCCAGCGCCCUUUGUCAUAUUCAACCUCAAUGAACGGGACAGAGCAUCACUGUGAGCACACAAAUUAUCUUUGCCAUGCAUGACGAUCUCCUGCCUAUCCCAUUAAAACUUGACCAUCUGGUGCAAAGUGGAUGGGACUGCUUUAGUAGCAUGAAUCCAAGGGCAACCUAACAACAAAUUGUAGGAGAUGGCCUCGUCCAGCACCUGGAACUCUAUGGUGAAUUCCACCGGUCCUAUUGUCAACUCAAGCACUAUAUCACUGACCGAGUCUUUUCCUCCACCAUCAAAACCUCGGAAGCAUAUGCUAUUUUUAUGAAUCCUCUCAUCAUCAACUUUCAACUUGUUCAGAGUAGAGAGUUGGCAUAUGUUUGCACUGGACCCAUUGUCAACUAAUACCCUGGUAACCACAGAAUCUUCACAUUUUACCGUAAGAUAGAGAGUUCUGCUGUGUUCAGUACCUUCUACAGGCAACUCAUCAUCAGAGAAUGUGACCAUAUUCACCUCAAAUAUUUUGUUGGCGAUUUUUCUAGAUGGUUCACUAAAAUUUUGUCGAGAACGUGAGCCUCGUUCAGAAUUUCCAUCAAGGACCGACGAUGCUCAUAUGAGUGGAUUAACAAUGACAACAAUAAAAUCUAAGCAGGCGUCUUUCUUAACUGCUCCAUGAUGGAAUAAUCUUGUACCUUCAUUUUCCGCAGAAACUCCUCCGCCUCUUCUUCAGUCACUGUUUUCUUCACUAGAACUGGGUUACAUCUAGAUAUUUUAGCUUUUCUUAACUCUUCCGGGCAAAGCAUAUCCCCGAACGAGUUAAUCUCUGGGCCUCAUUGACUUCUUAUUUCACUUCCUUUCCCUUAUAUGUCACUAUCACCCAUUCAUAGUUCCAUGGGAUGGCCUUGGUGCUGAUUACCGGCAACUGGGUUACAGGCUUGAUGAUGGCAAGAUCCGUACGGGCACCUUCCACAAUUAUGAUAGGCUUGUUGGCCACUCCUGGCACAACCCCUUUUGACUUUUAUUGCUUUGCUAUAACAUCACCUUGGGAUCCUUUCUUAGCUACUACAUAUGGCUUGCCGUUUGUCAUGCUCAACUUGUUCACUGAUCCUUCAAUUGUUGAUUUUUUAACUAGCUUGACCCCACUGGACCUAAUCAUCAUGACAGUCUGUGAAAGCUUCUUGGGCUCCCCUUCCUUAUGUACUAUCUCAAUCAUGUUUAUUUCCUGAUGGGUUGGCAGUGGGUUCUGGUUGAUGUUGGGUGCCUCUAGAGUUUAGACUUCAAUCCGGUUCAUGUCAAUGAGCUCCUGAAUAGCAUUUUUCAGGUGCCAGCACUUCUCCAUAUCAUGCCCCGGAGUACUAGAACAAUAUUCACAUCUCACAGAAUAAUCAAGAUUCUUUAGGAGAGGGUUUGGCAAAUUCGACUCAAUUGGCCUCAGCAUAUCCAAUUGCCUCAAUCUAUGGAAUAAACUACUAUAGGACUUUCCCAAUGGGGUGAAUGUUUUCUUCCUCUACAACCUCUCAUUUUUGAAUGUUGGAUUGGGUUGGAAACCUGGACCGGCAGGGUUUCGGUAGGCUCGUGGGGGUGGGUAAGCAUUUUGUAGAGUUGGGUAGGUGUUUUGUGGGGCUGGGGCACGCCAUUGUGCGUAGGCAGGAGGUUGAGUAUAUGUCUAGGCGUGGUGGACAGAAAUAUGAGGAUCUGGUGAUGAGAAGCAGUGUUGGGGGUGGACUAUAUGGGGUUUGGGCGUAGGUUCGAUGAUGGGGUCGAGGCUGGGUAUAUUGGUGACGGGCCUCUGGGUCUAAACCAUGAUCCUGAAUCAAUUUUCGCCACGUCUUCUUUAUUCUUCUUUCCAAUCACUCCCCUAGUACCAUUCUGAAUGGCUUGGGUAGUUGCCUUUAUAGCCGAGUAACUCACGAUUUUGCUUGAUUUAAGCCCUUCUUCCACCAUACCACCCAUUUUCACUACCUCAUUAAACGAUUUGCCUAUGGCCGAUAUCAGAUGGCGUAAGUAAGAGGGCUCCAAGGCCUGCAGAAAGUACUCCACUAUUUUGCUCUCCUCCAUCGGGGGUUAACUCUUGCCGCUUGUUCUCUCCAACGAAAACCAUAUUCUCUGAAAUGUUCACUAGGCUUCUUCUCAAUCUUAGUCAAAGACAAACGAUCUGGGACAAUCUCGAUUUUGUAUUGGAAAUGGCGAGAGAAUGCUUGGGCCAAAUCAUCCCAAGUAUACCAUGUGCUGUGAUCCUGAUGAGUGUACCACUCCAAUACCGAGCCACUCAAACUCUGGCUAAAGUAUGCCAUCAAUAGCUCAUCUUUCCUGCCUAUUCCUCUCAUUUUGCUACAGAAUCCCCUCAAGUGGGCCAUCAGGUCUCCGUGCCCAUCAUACAAAUCAAACUUCGGCAUCUUAAAUCCCACCGGCAACUGAACAUCAGGAAAUAGACACAAAUCUUUGUAGGCCACGCUCACCUGGCCUCCCAAUCCCUGCAUGUUUUUGAACGACUCUUCUAGGCUUCUAACCUUCCUGAGUAUCUCCUCCUGUUCUGGGUUUUUAGGUGGUUUCUUAGUCUCAACAGGGAGGUCGAAAUGAGGAGUGUAGGAGUAAGGUUCUGGGGCCUUGAAAGUAGGCUCCGGUGGAUAGUAUUGGUUAUCUUGGGUCUGACAUAAAGGCUCACUAAAGGAUCGGUGGAGUGUAGCGGGUAGGGGUGCCACGAAAACAGGGGUGUCUGGUGGAGGAUGGUAUGGAACUGGUUUGGGUGGUAGAGCUUGUGGUGUUUGGGAAGUGGUGCUCUGAUAGUGGUGGUAAAUGGGGAAGCCUGGAGAUGAAUCAAUAGUGGGAGGUUCUUAGGAUUGAGCUAGCGGCGGGACGAAAGUAGGGUUGGCGGAGUAGGAUGGUGAUGGGUGCCCUAUUACCCAUGCCUGGUACAUCUCUGCCAUCUAGUGUUUCAACUUACACAACUCCUCUUUCAGGUUAACAUCAGACUCCUCCCCUUCUCUUGAUGGGUCAAUAACACUUGCAUCCAGUUCUUGGUUAUCCAUGAUCAACUUGUCUUUGGACCUGGUGUUGUACGGAUGAGUUGGCAGAAUGCCAAACAAACUAACCACCUGCCUAGACUUGAUGACAACAAUAAACUUGUUAGAGAUUAUGGCUUAACAGAUAGGCAACCGCACGUUGGGGAUGCAAUGCACCUUAGCAGUUAACCAUUUCUAUUAUGCAUUUGGUCGGUUGCUUGCGUCAUCCCGGCUUUCCCUAAUUUUCAUUUUGCAACUUCUCCCUUUUUUUCAUUCCUGCUUUUCUUUGCUUGAUUCUUGUUUUUCUUUUAUUCCCUCAUUUUUCUCUCUUGUUUUGCUAUUGUUUCCCUCCCACAAUACUCUUGUUUUCUCUAUUUUGUUUUCUUUUUUUUUUCAUUUCAUGGUUAUGAUCGAAUCCUAUGGGGAUUUCCUACAUAUCAUGAUGUUGCAUGAAUCAGACCAAGCGUAGUUCUGGGGGAUAAGUGUAAAAAUAAAUAAAAAAACAUUUUGGGGUUUUCAAAUUUUCAUAAAAUAAAAAUGUCUUGAUUACAAUGACUCAUCCUACAAAAUUUAAUCAUAAAAACUAGCAGACUCGAAAAGGGGGACUAACAGGCUCCAACAGAUAGAUGAAAAAUACAGACUCGAAAACAGACUAACAAACUCCAAUAAAGAAAAUGAAAAUACAUGCUCGAAUGAAAAUCAUGAAUACAUCAAUGCCUCAACUGCUCAAGGGGCCCGUGGGACAUCAGUCGGUCUCGCCACAGGCCUAUGCACAAGAUCCCCUUGAAGACGCUCCAGGUCACUCAUUAUUUGAUAAACAAAGGUCAUUACCGCGGCAAAGAAGGUGGUUCUCGUCAUGUCUUCACAUUCAUGUCACUUCAUGACGAUGUAGUCACCAAUUGCUCUAACCCUCUCCCUGACGAUACCCUUUUCUUGGAGAAAACGCCCUAUUUGCCGAGUCCUAGCUUCUAGCACCUAGGCAUCAUGAUGGUUUUGACCCUGCAACUGUUCCAUGUCUUCCUCUAGCUGGGACAUUAAUGCAUAGCAAUGUUCCCUUUCUGAUUUAAAAUUCUUAGUUUGCUUGGCCAACUCAUUUUUUAGGGUAGUUAGCCUUUUCUUUAAAUUGGUGACUGUUCCCUCAUAUUUCCUUUUCAACCGCCGGACAAACUCUGCUCGUCCCUCUACGUUCUUUGCUAACUAUGCCCGGGCCCUCGCUAGAUUAUCCUCAGAUUUUUCCAGAUCAUCCUCACACUCAGCUAUUUUCCUUUUAAGACCACUUAUGAGUCUUUCAUCCUUUCGGCUCCUUUCUUGAUUCUCAGCAGGUAUUUUCAUUUUUUGGAUCUGUGCUCGAAGGGCUUUGUUUUCUUGAGCUAAUUCUUCUUUUCCCCUUCAUCAGCAGCGGACUGUACACUUGCUUACAAUUUGCUUAUGGUGGCUCUGUAGCUUGCCUCUUUUGCCAACCAAUCCCAUUGAUCCUGUACUUCGUCAGUGAAUUGUUGGACAUGGGGCCUUUUCGCGGGACGUUCGGACUCUAGAUGGACUUGGGACCUUUUAUUGUACCAAGUUGGGUAACUAGACUCCAACUCGCCUUUGGACAGAUCUCGUACCUGAGUGUUUGACUCUAAGAACCUACAUUGAUGCCAAAUCCGACGCACCCUUUCUUCUGGGAAAGCAACUUUUAGUUCCAAUUCGAUGACCUACUGACUCAAAUCCUCAUCAUGUGGGAUAGUCUGGUACCUGCCUAACUGGCGUAGAACUCUGUGUGGGGCAUAAGGCUGAAUGCUCCGGAGACCCAUCAAUAGAAGAAAACACAGCUCGGCCAACAUGUAAAUGACUUCACUGAUCGAGAGCCACCCGAAUGUCCAUUCAAUCUUGUUUGCAGUCAGGGAGCUCAAGUGUGCAAACCAUGCUUCUAUACCCUCCGGAAACUCAUAGCCCUCCACCCGUUGUUCAUGUUUUUCAAUGCAUUGAAGACCGGUCAUACCAAGGUUCAUGUACCCCGGGCAGUGACACAGGUGUUCCUACAUCCAGAGUUGUAGAAGCAUAUUGCAUCCCUAAAAAACUUUCUCCUUUUCGGCAAAGAGUCAGUGCUCGGUAGAUUUCCGCCAAGAUCAUCGGUACAAUGGUGUCAUUUGCCUUUUUAGUCAUGAAGUCGGCUAUCCCCACAAGCCCCAAUUCUAUGUUUCUAUCCUUUCUUGGGCAAAUCAAAACACCCAAGAAUGCCACUAUGAAAGCCAAUCCACGCCGAGUUUGUUCCCCGAAUGAGUAAGACCAGUAUCGGGCAUCUCAAAACCGCGAGGAUUCCCGUAACGUCGGUACAAGAAGUCGAAUGUGCAGAAUCCCUUGGCCAGAUUUCCGUCUUGAACUUCCCGACGGAUGCUUAGAAGGUCCAGAAAUAUAUGAGGAGUCACUGUUCUGGGUGACACCUGGUAUUGAUUUCUGAGAUUCCCACUAAAACCAGCGUAGCCCGCUAUUUCCUCUAGCGUAGGGGUUAGCUCAAAAUCAGCAAAAUGGAAUACAUUAUAUGCUGGGUCCCAGAAGGGUAUUAAAUCCUCAAUUAUAUCCUUCCUCGGCUUGAUCUUCAGAAGCCCAACAAGGCCACCCAAAGCUUUUAUCAUAGUUUUUCUGCUGACUUCUCCCGAAUCAUUCAACCAUAUAUGUAUUUCUAACGGGAUUUCCUCGCGGAAUGUGAAAGGUUUAUUUUCAAUUGUGCUCAACCUACACAUUUAUUUAAUGUGAUUGAUUAAAAUACUGUGGUUUACUUUUCCUCAAGAGAAAAGCACCAAUUUUCACAAAAUUUAAACAAAAACAUUUUUGCGCAUACAGCCUUUCAACACCUCAAGAAAGAAUUUUUUUUAGGAUUGUUUUUGUUAAUCAACCAAAAUUUUUGAAAAAGGACCCUAGGUGGAUAUUCUUGAAUAAAUAGCCUUCCGACACCCUUUUGGGCAUUUGGCUAUUCUGUACAAGAACGGCGUCACCUAAUUUAUUUAUGGCAAAAUAGCAACACUUCAUAUUUUUGGUUAUUUUCGCAAAAAGGAGUUGAACCCGAUGGGGGUUGCCUACGUAUCCCACAUCCGGUGAGAAUCAAACUUGCAUAGUUCGGGCGAUUUUGACGCAAUAGAAAACACAAACUUUUGAAAUAGCUUUUUCUUUUUUCCUUUUUCCCCCUUUUUCCGAAAAUUUCAGCAAAGUUUCGGGGUAUUUUGGACACUAGGUUUUUCCAUAGGUGGGUAAUUUCCUCUCAAUUUGGUUUUUCUCAAUUUUCUCCCUUAUUCUAGAAUUCGGUCAACAUGUAAUCCGAGUAAAAUAAAUGCGCAAGUAGCAAGUAAAAUGCAUCAGGAUGGUCUUUUGAUUUCGGGUGCACCUGUCCUAGACGGACCCAACCCCUGUGUUGAGUCACCAAAGUCAAAAUGCACAUGAUUCAAACUAGCGUUCCUACUAGGGAUCUGGAAUGAGGCUAUGUUAUACUAGGUUUAAAAAUCUAGGUUUAUUUGUUCUAGACCUGGCUUACCCGAGCGGACAACUUGAGCCAGGGAGCAGCGUACCAGGAAUACAGAAGCUUCACCGGCUUUGCAACUUGUUCGAACCUCGUUCUACAAUUGGGAUAUGACUCUAACAGAAAAGAAGUCACAUGAAGUGCACACUUCCUAGAUGAUUUAGAAGACUCAGAGAGAGGAGGGAUUGGUAACAAUUUAUUUACAGUUCAACCAUAUCAAAGCGAUAAAAAGCAAUAUUUAGCACAUUAGGCCCAAGUAAAACCCCAUAAUAAAUAAAGCCACAUAUAACAAUCAUUCUAAGGUCGAAUUCUUGAACCAUGAACUAGUGAUUCUAGGUUCAUGUCUCCAGCAGAGUCGCCAGAGCUAUAACACCUCCUUUUUACUACCCCCCCGGAGGGAGUAUAUAAGAGACUUUUUUCCAAUUUAAGUGACAAUCGAAAUGAGAUUUAUUUAUUUAUUCAGAGUCGACACUUGGGAUAAUUUAUGAUGUCCCAAGUCACCGUAUAAUUUAUUCACUAAUAUUGAACUAAUCAAAAUCCAAAAGUAGUGUUACUUAUCCAAAUUGAAUCUAUACUAUGACAGUGCAAACAUCCAAGGACUCGGUAGAAAUAGUUUAAACUAGGAUCGAACCAAAAUAACACAUGAAAGUCCAAAUAUAACCCAAUACAAAUUGUAAUGUCCAUGGCAUGAAUAAAUACAAUGAAUCAAGUAAUAGAACAAAAUUUAAUGUAGAACAAGGAUAAGUUUUCAAUAACACAACUUGAUAUUCAACUAACUAAGGUUUACAUCUCCAACAUGCUUC